RNAcentral lists this ribosomal RNA (794 nucleotides) under uncultured Methanocellaceae archaeon. RNAcentral describes it as "bacterial SSU rRNA". It matches the Rfam family "Archaeal small subunit ribosomal RNA", at positions 85 to 880 of the family's 1478-position model. The record is from RNAcentral. Lineage: Archaea; Methanobacteriati; Methanobacteriota; Methanomicrobia; Methanocellales; Methanocellaceae.
ACUGCUCAGUAACACGUGGACAACCUGACCAAAAGUCUGGGAUAACCCCGGGAAACUGGGGAUAAUACCGGAUAGAUCACCUAUGCUGGAAUGCUUGGUGGUUGAAACUUCAGGGGCUUUUGGGUGGGUCUGCGGCUGAUUAGGUUGUUGCCGGUGUAACGUACCGUCAAGCCAGUUAUCAGUACGGGUUGUGGGAGCAAGAGCCCGGAGAUGGAUUCUGAGACACGAAUCCAGGCCCUACGGGGCGCAGCAGGCGCGAAAACUCUACAAUGCAGGCAACUGCGAUAGGGGAACAUCGAGUGAUACUCAUCUUGGGUGUCUGUCCUUCCGUCUAAAAAACGGGAGUUAGCAAGGGCCGGGCAAGACCGGUGCCAGCCGCCGCGGUAAUACCGGCGGCUCGAGUGGUGGCCGAUAUUAUUGAGUCUAAAGGGUCCGUAGCCGGCUUGGCAAGUCUCUUGGGAAAUCCGGCGGCUUAACCGUCGGUCGUCCGGGAGAUACUACUUUGCUUGGGACUGGGAGAGGCGUGAGGUACUCAGGGGGUAGGAGUGAAAUCCUGUAAUCCUUUGGGGACCACCGGUGGCGAAGGCGUCACGCCAGAACAGGUCCGACGGUGAGGGACGAAAGCUAGGGGCACGAACCGGAUUAGAUACCCGGGUAGUCCUAGCCGUAAACGAUGCUCGCUAGGUGUCACGACAAUCGUGAAUUGUCGUGGUGCCGUAGGGAAGCCGUGAAGCGAGCCACUUGGGAAGUACGACCGCAAGGUUGAAACUUAAAGGAAUUGGCGGGGGAGCACA